AAGGUAGCCGUAUCGGAAGGUGCGGCUGGAUCACCUCCUUUUGAGUAUGGUGAAUAUAAUUGUCUUAUCAGGCGUCCUCACAAGUUACUUGCAUUCAGGGUUUGAUGUUGGCAUAGGUUUGGGUUUAUGUUGGCGAUUUUUGUUCUGGGGGCCUUAGCUCAGCUGGUAGAGCACCUGCUUUGCAAGCAGGGGGUCGUCGGUUCGAUCCCGACAGGCUCCACCAUGAAAGUAUUUAUGGGUCUGUAGCUCAGGUGGUUAGAGCGCACCCCUGAUAAGGGUGAGGUCGGUGGUUCGAGUCCUCCCAGACCCACCAAUGUUAUAUCAAUUAUUCUGAAUGUGGUUUGCGCAUUUUUUAUGCUUAUCAGCCUUGGAGCUGUGAAGCGUUCUUUUAUAAUUUGAUGAUGUAGCAAGCGUUUGAACUUUUUAUUAAUAAUUUCUCAUUGGAAGCCUUAAGUGACAAUGUUUAUCCAUUGUCUUGUAGAUUUUGAGGCGACUUUGGGUUAUAUGGUCAAGCGAAUAAGCGCACACGGUGGAU
RNAcentral lists this unclassified non-coding RNA (535 nucleotides) under Xylella fastidiosa. RNAcentral describes it as "partial 16S-23S ribosomal RNA intergenic spacer". The stretch from base 148 to 220 matches the Rfam family "tRNA". Lineage: Bacteria; Pseudomonadati; Pseudomonadota; Gammaproteobacteria; Lysobacterales; Lysobacteraceae. The record is from RNAcentral.